UAAAAAAGGUUAGAACCUUGGUGGUCUAGAGUGGAAAACAAAUAAGAAGGGGAGAAGGGACUGCAUGAGUUGAGGGGUGCCAUGGCAGCAAAAAUGCCCUCGAGCAAAGCAAAUGGCAGCAGCUUGAAGAAAGUACCAGGCUUUUUUGCGGUCAGGUUUUCCUUUUUUUUGAACCUUUUAUGUUUUUACCGUCUGGUAUAAAGUAAGUCUGGACUUCCUUGUCAGUUGAUGGAUGUUUUCAUCUUAUGUAGAUUUUUCUUUUUGCCUUGUACCGAACUUAUGUAAAAACUGUUAUUAUAGUAUAGUAAUUCUCUCCAUCUCCUUGGCUGUGUGCUGGUGCCUGGCUCUAAACAUCUAGGACCCGGAAGAACAGUCGCUCUGCCAAAAAACUGUGGUCGUGAAAGGGAGAAGUCACAAGGGGGUGCCGGGGUGGGGUAAAUGAAUGAAAUGGAAUGGCAAUGGUGAGAUGCAAGAGGAGGUAGGAGACAAGUGGUUGUCAUGUGCAUGGGGCAUGUGAGAUGGGUCCCACUUUUGCAUGACACAAAAUCCUAGGCGGAUUGCAGCUUCAAUCCUGAUGCGCCCACUUUUUUACCCGGUAGCCCACUAGCUGAUGAUAUCCAGGGGCUACAGACUUUGGAGUUUGCUGUGAAUGUGAGGGAAUACUUUCCCAUCAUAAUUAUGUGACUUGAGGUUGCUUGCUUCCCUUGCAAAAUAUGAUGGUUUUGCCUACGUCCCUGACUGCCCUGCGAUUCCUUUCUACUCCUACCGUACCGUGUGGCUUGUCAUACCUUGUAUUUUACUUAUUAUUAUUUUAAUGCGAAAAAUUUCCGUAAAACCCCAAUAAUAAUAAUAAUAACAAUAACAAUAACAAUAAUAAUAAUACAUGGGGCUGUUUGAAAGCUACUCGUAUUAGUUUAUUGAAUUUCAUGCAUCAGUUUUGUAUACUAUUCAAAGUAGGCAAUUGUUUCAAAAUGUAAAAUGCUUCUACCAUCAUCUUUAGACUUACCGUGGGUUCGCAUCCACAAGUUUUUAGUAUAAAAGUAAGUCUGGAUUUCGUUGUCAGAUAUGAUUCCAAUAGUUGAUGUUUCCAAAAUUGCGGGGAGUAUGAUACAAAAUGGGCUUUUUUUCCCCUUUAACACUACAUACUCAAGCGCUCAUUUAUACGCGUAUACACUCACCUCUAUGAACGCGCACACACCCUAUCCCUAUGAGUAUCUCCGAGAGACUGAGCCGACAUAUCAUCUUGAGAUUUUACGAAGUCACGUCGGUGCCUCGCAGUCGGCCGAAACGUCUUUUUGAAUCCUGGUGGGCCGGGGAUAUCACUGGCCACCUAACCAUCCAACCACUGGUUGGUUCGCAUACAUAACGAGGCUUGAUGUGUCCACCUUGAGCUAUUCUUUGCCCAUAUAAUUUUCUCACUUAUUUGAGUUUAAUUAAUCUUCCAUGAAAUAAAUAUAUCAGUGGUUCACAAACUCUCAAACCAACAACACCGUUUUGUCCCUAUCUCUCAUGCAAGAGACCGGGCAAAACCCUAGGCGCUGCCACCUCGUCCUCUCCCUUCUCCCCGUUCCCCUUGCUGCCACCAAGGUGUGGCGGCGGGGAUCCUUUUUCUCCUCGCCUGGUCUACUACGGUGCGGGCGUGACGUCUAGGUAGUGACUCCUCGCUUUGGCGUAGGGCAUGGCACUGGUGGCGUGGUUGGGCAAUGGCUGCGUGGAGAUGGUGAUGUUCGUCCCCCCUUUCCGUCUUCGGAUCCUCCUUCCUCGACUUCCUGCACGAAGCCCAUUGGCUGGGCUCCAGAUCCGAAAGUCCCGAUGACCGGUUGCAUCCUCAUCGGCCGAUGGGGCCAGGUGGUGCAUCAUUUUGGAUCCCUUGCCAUGUGGGGUGUCAUCUUCCUGGGAAGUUGUGGCCGUAGCCAGGGGCCAGUGGUUGCCUCCUCCUCCUCAUGCAGUGGUCGGGAUGCCGCCGAGGUGGUCAUUGUACUCGUCGUUGCGUGGUAGGGAAAGACAGGGAUGGUUGCCCCCGUCCAGAUCUGGUAUAUGUUGACCGAUUUGGGUUCGCUGGUCGCCGCCGCAGACGGUAGUGGCACCGGCGUGGUGUGCGCCUUCGUCCAUGGUAUGACGUGGGACUGGAAGGGAGGAGCCUUUCCGUCUCAAUAGCGGUGAGUGAGGUGUUCGGGGUUUGGAGUUGGUGUGCGGGGUCGAGGUUGGGAACUUGGAAGUCGGGACGCUGACCUCGGGUGGUGGUAUGUCGGAUUGGCUUUUCAGCACGCGUCUUGGCGGCGAUGAUGGUUGCAUCUUUUGGUCAUUGGGCGGCGAAGGAUGUAGCACUCGGUAAUGCUGGUCUCGGCGGUGGCGGUUCCUAGAUCAUGUUUUGGAGGUCAUGUUUGGUGGUGGCCUUUUUUUCCUCGGGGUGGAUUGGUGCUCUUGGUUCCUCGAGUGGCACGGGUGAGAGGGCCCAGGCAAAAGCCUUGUGCUCCGGCGCUAACAAUGCUGAUGCUCGUGGGUAUCGCAUCCCUCUUGGGGGUGCCGUUGUGGUCCUUCUCGCCAAGUCAUGGCUCCAGGUGAAAACCCUUGACCUACCCUCGGUCUCGAUGGCUGCGAUGCGUUGCUUAGUCUUUCUCCUGAGGACUUCGUCGUGGAGCCUAGGUUUCCUUAGGUGCACCGCGCCGUCAUCGGCGGACAUUUUUGGAUCCUGGCUUGAAGCUUCCUCGGCUCUGGCGCGGGGAGCUACACUCGCCCCCUUAUCUUAUACAUGGGACCUUGUUGGCGCCCUACUGUCCUUGUUAUCUGCUGGCAGGUUUGGGCUCAACGGUCCAAGAGGGACGUCAAGAGGCUCUCCUGGGCAACAACUUGGUGUGAGGGGUGGAAAGAGAUCCGGUGAUUUCCCUUGGCGACUAGUCUUCCUCGUCGGUAGUCUAGGUUGCUUUUGUGGUAGGGUGUGGGUUCUCCUAUAUUGUUAUUUUUCUUUGAUAUAUGCUUUGUAAGAGGAUCUCCUUAUCAGCAUGCUGCAUCGGUUUGAUUGUGUUGCUUUAUAUAUAAAAUAAAGCGGACGGGAGCCUUUUUCUGUAAAUGAAUAUGUCAGUGAUGACAAACUGGAUCAUAAAAAAGGAGAAAUGUGUUGGUGCAUGGAGCUGGUGACGAAGGAGACCUAGAAACAGCACAACUCAUCCGCAAAAAAAAAAAAAAACAGCACAACUCAAAAGUUCCAGGUUUGCCUUUCGAAUAAGCAACUACAUGUCCAGUCAGGAAUGGGAUAUCCGUGGUAACGACAUCGGAACAAGUCCUUGCGUGUGCCCAUAACAUUUUCCUUUCAUUUUUAGCUCUCAUCUAAUCCCAGCCCUCCAUAUCCAAUUGGGCGACAGGCAAUCAACCGAAUGAUGUGCGUGGCAGAGGAUCCUAACCCCAAACAAACAGCAGGUAGUGAGAUGUGGUGGGUGAUGAAGAUGAUGGUGAUGGAAUGCCAUGGGCGACCGUUGGUUAGCACAUUCACAUCACCCGAUCAUAACCAACAUUCUAUAGAUUUGCAUAAGGAGAAAAUUAAUUAAACACCAACUUGAUUUGUUCUCUGGCAAGCUCUGGCUAAACAUAGAUGUGUUGAGCUCUGGGGAUCCUAAGUUAAGUGAGGUCCAGACUGACAACUUAAUUAAACACUGUGAGAGUCUUGCUCAGCACAUAUGCAUGGCCAUGUGCAGAUAAGUGACCACGUCCUUUUCUUGUACUGGCGGGCCUGGGAAUUCAAUGUGGCAUCACAUGCCUGGUGAAGCAAACAAAUUAGCUAAGCCAGAAGAGGGUAAAUCAUGGCAGGGAAUUGAUUAUUACUAGGAGUACAAUGGAUUUCAUCAGAACGGGAAUAUUCCAGGACCGGCAAACGAUGACGACAUGUGUGGAUUCAAAAAUUGCAAGCUUGUUUCUUUGUUGGCAUUUCAGAAAAUGUAUAUGGUCCCAAAACCAAAGGUCCUCCUGUUCAGUUUGUAAUGCCCACAUGGUGGCCGUUUGACAGAUAUGCAUAUUUUAGAUCAUUGAGCUAGCUACAUCUCGGAGUUACACUACCACAUCCGCUCCAAAAUAAACUAUGCUUUAAUGCACCUGGAUGAACAGUAAAAAUACAAAAAGGGUACUUUUUUAAAAAAAUAUUUAUUUUUGUCAGAAAAACAUUGAGGAGUGCUUAACAUGGGUGUGAAAUUUCGUAAUGAAAUAACAUUCGCGGAGCACUGAUUUUUGAAAGUAUUUUGGGGCACUGAUUAUUUUUGCCACACAUCCAUGAAUGCUAUUUCAUCACAAAAAUUUGCACUCGCGCCAAAAGCUAAGCAAUGUUUAUUCUCAAAAAAACUCAAAACCUUUUGAAUUUCUUCUAUUUUUUUGGAUUUUACUGUUCAUACCAUGUGCCUGUGAGCCUAGGACUAGAAGCACAUAUUCAUAAUAAAACUUCUUUAUCUUUGACAAAUUGUAAUCAACAAAAAAUGAUUGAUUAGGUUGAAAUAAUACCCAGGACAAUGGGUAGUCCUACUACGUAGAGAUAGGAUUUCCUGCUCCCGAACUUCAUGGAGUCCUUAGGAAAAAAAUUAAAAAGGAGAUUUAAUGUUUGAAAUUCUGGCAAAAAUACACAUGUACACAGAUACGUAUGCUACGUUCCUGUAAAUUUUCAUGAUGAAAUAUUUGUUGGUGUGAGCUUGACCAAAAUAAUAGUAAUAAUAAUGGACUUUUGUAAUUUAUAGUACAUGUGCUAAAAUACACGAUUUUUAUCCUUCUUGAUAGCUAACAUAAAUCAUAUUUCAUCGUCAAAAUUUACAGAAAUGUGGUAUAUAUCUCUAUUUACUCCCUUUAUUUCUUUUUAGUCUGCAUAUAAAAUUUAUAAAAAGUCAAACUAUAUAAAGUUUGACCAACUAUGUAGAAAAAAAUAUCAACAUCCAAAAUACAAAAUCAAUAUCAUUAGAUGCAUCAUGGUGUUAAUUUUCAUACUAUAUAACUUUGGUAUUGUAGAUAUUGAUAUAUUUUAAUAUAAAUUUGGUCAAACUUUGUGAAGUUUGACUUUAAAUCAUCUUAUACACGGAGUAAAAAUAAACGAAGGGAGUAUGUGUGUAACAAACUCUAGAGUUCUUUUAACCUCAGAACAUGAAUUAUGAUUUUUUUUCAAAAAUCCAGGUUCCAUGAGCCUGGAAUCUAAGGCAUUUUAGUACUAAGUAUUUCUACACAAUAUAUAUACAUAGUAUAAAAGCCAUACAUGCCUAAAAGGGCUUUCCCAGUGCUCCAAAGUGUACUAUAUCUAAAAUAUAUUGUCAAAAUAAAAAUCUAAUGUGAAAACAUAUGUAAUGAGGAAAGAGAGUACUACUAUAUCUUAAGCUAGAUAUAGCUAUAAGCAUAGAAAAGAAGGAAGCCUUUUCUUUUACAAGUCAUAUUAAAAGAAAGGGAUAAUUAGAUUUAUGCCCUUAGUUGUGUCCCACUCAGCUGUUUUACCCCUAAUUUUUAGAAGUCACUGGUUCUGCCCAAGUCACUUCGCUCCUCUUAUUCAUUUGCCCUUUGCCCGUUUGAUCGCCACCUUGAAAACUUCAUAACUAAUUCAUACUAAAUCAAAAAUUGCAAAUAAGAUAUCAAAAUGUUCGGAAAAACGUCACCUAUAGGCCAGUGCCAUUUGCAUUCAUGACAAAAGUGUUGGAAAGUGCCCACCGAGUUUUAGCUCUUAUGAUACCACCAUGAAUAGUAAAAUAAGAGCUAAAACUAUUUUGGUAUAUGUGGGCACCACCAUGAAUAGUCCGUAGGCCAGUGACAUUUAUGAGUACCUAGUAGUUAAGUACCAUCACGUACCUAGUACGCUUUCCAUUCUGUAUAUGUGGACACCUGGGCCAAGGAGGCGGUCGAGCCUACGGACUAGCGUGUUGGCAUCCAGCGGGCCGCGGACAAGGCGAACGGCGGCAUCCAUGCGAACGGCGCGGAGGGCGUCCGGUGCAAGUACGACAUGGCCGGCCUCUGGUGCAAGUACGACGCUGAGGGCCUCUUCCCACUCCUGGCGAGGAAUGGGGGUACUGACCGGACGUGUACCCAGCUGCAACGCCGUGUCGAUAGCAGGUAAGCGCCGAUGGAUCCGCUCUUGCUGUGCAGCGCGCGGCGCCUCUCGCUCUGCGGUGCUCCAACGGUCUUGCUGUGUGGCGAGCCAUAGCCUAUCGGCGCGGGCGCGCCUAGCUUGCUCUGCGGCGCGCCAUCGAUCAUGUUGUGCGGUGAGCUGCAGCCUGUCGGCGCUGACAUGCCUAUCUUGAUCCGCGGCGCUCAAGCGUCAUUUGCCAAAGGUCUGCUCAACCCUGGAGAUGAUGCGCAUCACAGCGUUGUCCAUCACGUUGCCGGGGAGCGCAUCGGCCUCGACGGGCCGUGGCGCCUGCUCGUUUUUCUCGUCGACGAGGUUGAUGGCAGAGGCAGCGCUUUGGUGGGUUGACAUGCUUGGAAAAGGUGGAUCUGCUACAGGAUGCACUUGUCGCCUCCGUGCGUCGCGCGCCGCCUAUGGCAAUAUCGCUAGGUGGUGGGAAACAGGUGAGGAAAUGGCGGGAAACGGUGGCGUGUUCAUAAAACGCCAUCUAUUAAUGGAAACUUAGUAUAGAAGGAAUAUCAACCUAACACAAGAAGGAGAUGAUGAUCAGAUGAACACAGACCAUACUAGGGAACCGUUUCUGUUAUUAUCGGUAUUCACACACAUUUUUGAUUACAGACCUGUUUGUGGCGUAUCACAAACAUCUUGUUAUAUUAAACCGUUUCUGUUCUCUUGCCUCAACACAAACAGUUCAUCCAAGUGAACCGCAUGCCGUAUAUCGCACACACCUUCAUCUGGCUGCCCGUUUCUUUUGUGUUGCCUAAUCACAAACAGUUCAUCCGAGUGAAUCAUAUGUUGUACAUCGCACACACCUUCAUCUGGAUGCCUGUUUCUUUUGUUCUUGUCAUCGCAAACGGUUAACUGAACUGAACUGUAUGCCCUCAAUCGCACACACAACUAAAAUCUGAACCAUGUUUGAUGCAUCCUCCAUCACAAAUGUUUUGCACCUUUUUUGACGGUUUUUACACGACCGUUUGCGAUUAUGGCAUCACACACAGUUUCGUCGAAGGGUCUUUGAUCGUAGUGUCGCGUUAGCAGCAUCCCGCAGUAGUGUAUGAAUUAGUUAUGAAGUUUUCAAAGUGAAGGUCAAACAGUCAAAGCGCAAAUGCAUAGGAGGAGCGAAGUGAUUUGGGCAGAACUGGUGACUUUUGGAAAUUAGGGGUAAAACAACAGAGUGGGACACAACUAGGGGCAUGAAUCUAAUUAUCCCUAAAAGAAUGACUUUUAGAUACAGCUCAAAUAUACUACUCCAUCAGAGCAUCUUCAACAGUUCGUGUAAAAAGCUCCUUGUAAAACCACUUCACGAGAUGUCCAUAAAACUUAGUGGAAGUUGACAUGUGAGUUGUUUUCUCAGAUCUCAUAAAUAUCUUCCCUAAAUCAAUUUUUAUAUAUUUCCCAUUAAAGAAGCAUACAAAUGGCACGUGCAUGUAUAUACUAUCAUCAUAAUAAUUCGAAUGAGGUUAUUUCUGAUACACAUACUUGAUACUCAUAUCAAAUCCACAAAUUUAUGAAAUUCCGUUUGAAAUUCACAUUCAAAAGGAAACAUACAAACCCGGUAAAUGAUUAAAAGUGGACAUAACAAAUGGUUCAAACACGAAGAUCAAAUAUGCAACAUAUGGUUCACCUAAACAAGGACAUCAACACAUAAAGCAUAAAUAGAAAAUCAAUCAUAGAACAUCACUGCUGACUUCUAUCACCAUUGCCACUCCAGCACAUCCGCAAUUCCUAUCAUCUUUGGUGCUUAAAUUACUACCUUAAUGAUCUCAAGAUAUUGUAGUUGGGCUACCUCAACUCAUGCAAGGUUAGUGAACAUGCUUUUGUAUUCUUGCUCCAUUUUUUGUCUGCAUUUCGUGUGCAAAGAUAUUUGGCUUCUCUUCUUCGAUUGAAGUCUUGCGUUCCUCACAUGCACUUUUUUAUUCCCUCUUACUUUUGCUUGCUAUGAUAUCUUCCACCUCAAUCUUGAACACAAUUACAUCUCCAUUUUUGUCUUUCUCACCUUUCCUUUCGGGUGGCCCUUUUGUAGGGAGCUUGGGGUAGUGGUGGGUUUAGGAUUUAGGACUUCAUCGACAUGAUCAUUGGUAUCUUCAUUGUUGUGCACUUGUGUAACUGACGAUGAUUUGGCCUUCCUCCUCCGGUGAAGAUGCUCAUUUUCCCUAAUUUUUUACUUCACAUUGAUCUAGAGAAAUGCCCAAUAAUGGUACAUGAAAAAGACUUAUUUUUUUGGAUCCCUAUGCUCGUACAUGUUGUUUGUGUAGCCGAGUUUGCAAGUUUAAAAUUUCACAUUAGAAACCAGGGAUAAACAAUUUAUAGAAAAUUUUGAACAACAAAUACUCAGUAGCAUGUCAUGUGUCAUUACACUAGGUUUGACAUGUUCUACAUCAGUAACAGAACCUGCCCAAGGAGUGCAAGAUUCCUAAAUCAAGGCUCAUCAACCAUCGAGUGGCUUAAUGGAGUGCUCAAUUGAAACAAACACAUUGCAAUGACAGUGAUCUACAAUGUGCUUCCAGUAGGGCUUUAUGCUUUGAUCGGUCCUUGUUGUCAGAUCAGUGCGUACACAAUGGCAUGCCAUGACCGACGCUUUAUCCUCCUCCAUGGAGCAGUUGCUCCCCAUGUUAUUUGUUUUCGAAGCAAAAUCAUCGUCAUCCUCAAACAUAGUGGACAAAGAGAUAUCAUGUAUGCUUACUGCCUCAUUGAUCAUCUUCAUAUAUGAAUGUUGACUACAUUAUCGUAAUUACGAAAGUAAUGAGCAAUACAAAUUUCCAUGUAAAAUUAUGAUUGUGAAUUGUACAAAUUAAACAAAUGAAGACCAAUUUUUUACCUUUGCAUUCGUUUCAUUGUAUGGCUCGUUGACAUUGUACAUGUUGAAGUCGUCAUCGGCCUCAAGGAAGGCCGACAACAUCCGCGUGAAGGCCAGGUGAAGGUUGGCAGCGAAGGUGCCAUCAUGGAGGAAGGACCAGCCAUGGCCUCACCCUUCCCUUUCUUCGACACUCGUGGCUUCCACGCCGGUGCGGCGGGGAUCGAUGGUGGGGUAGGCCCGCUUGCCCGCGAGAUCGAGCAGGCCGGGUAGGCGGUUGUCGGUGUCAAAACCGGCGGAUCUCGGGUAGGGGAUCCCGAACUAUGCGUUUGAGGUUGAUGGUAACAGGAGACAGGGAACACAAUGUUUACGCAGGUUCAGGCCCUCUCGAUGGAGGUAAAACCCUACGUCCUGCUAGAUUAAUAUUGAUGAGUAUGGGGGUUACAAUAGUUGAUCUACCACGGGAUCGUAAUGGCUAAAACCCUAGAAGUCUAGCCUAUCUGAUUAGGAUUAUCAUCGUUCCCCUCUAAGGAUCUAGCCUUCCGGUUUAUAUAGACACCGGAGGGAUCUAGGCUUACAUAAAGUCGGUUAUAGUGAAAGGAAUCUUCAUAUUUGGUCGCCAAGCUUGCCUUCCACACCAAGGAGAGUCUCAUCUGGACACUGGUAGAGUCUUUGGUCUUUGUAUCUUCACAGCUCAUCAGUCCGGCCCAUGGCUAACAGGCUGGACGCCCGAGGACCCCUUAGUCCAGGACUCCCUCAGUAGCCCCUGAACCAGGCUUCAAUGACGAGGUGUCCGGCGCAUAGAUUGUCUUCGGCAUUGCAAGGCGGGUUCCCUUCUCCAAAAUAGUCUUCGGAUGCAAAGAAUGUAUCCGGAUCUGUAACCCAAGUACCACACACAACCGCAGAGAGUAUAAUUUUUCAUGAGUCAAAUACGCUGACAACUUUUUGUAAUGUGAUAUCACGUCCUUGCCCGAUUAUUAUUUCAAACCGUUUUUCGGCCUGCCCCUUCGUAUUUCAAGAUGCGGUUUUAUUAGCACGUCUUGUCAAAGCAGAGAUCGUGUCCCCUUAUUGCGGGAUCCUCAUCAAACGGGUAUGGGCAAUCCAACCGUGCCACCUGCAUGACCUAGGGAAUAGGCGAGUUUCAUGGCGAGUGGGGAGGCAUUUGAUAUUCACCGUCUUUAUAAGGAGAUAAGGAUUCCCUUUCUUCACCCACACCUUCUCUCUUUCUCCGCCCUUCCAUUCUCGAGCUCUAGCGCCCAAGUCCUCAUCUUUUCCGCCUCAAGGAAGCACUCAACCAUGUCCGGAUCUGGAGGGCAAGGCAAGUGGAUGGCCUCCUCCGUUAAGCAGAAGGACAUCACCAAGCUUUCAGAGGCCGGGUAUCUGGCGAAAGAAAUCGCCCACCGGCUUCCAGCCAAGGGGCAAAUUGUCCCCACCCCGAAGCCUAAUGAGAGGGUGGUGUUCAUCCCCCACUUCGUCCGCGGGUUAGGGUUUCCUCUCCACCCUUUUGUCCGCGGACUUAUGUUCUAUUAGGGGCUAGAUUUCCAUGAUCUAUCCCCGAACUCUUUCCUCAACAUCUUGACAUUCAUUGUCGUGUGUGAGGCCUUCCUCCGCAUCCAACCCCACUUCGGACUGUGGCUCAAAAUCUUCAAGGUGAACCCGAAGGUGGUGGAUGGCCAGCACGCGGAGUGCGCAGGUGCCAUGGUGAGCAAGCUGCCCAAUGUCACGUGGCCCAAAGGUACUUUUGUGGAGACCGUCAAGGAGUAGCAGAAACUUUGGUUCUAUAUCACAGAGCCCCGCGAUGCCACCUAGGCUGUGGCUCCCGAAUUCAAGUCCGGAACUCCAAUGUGGCUCACCUCCUCGAUAGAGAAGGGCCCAAAUUGGUCUUCGUCGGACGAAUUGAUUGCACUGCAGACGUGCAUCCAAAGCAUGGUGGAUAAAAACAUCAAGCUCGUCGACGUGAUCCAGGUGAUGCUAGUUCGCCGGAUCCUCCCAUGCCAAAGCCGAACUUGCCCUUUAUGGGAAUUCGAUCCGAAGAAGCACCAAACCUUGGAAAGGCUCUUCGGAACCGCUCACGAAGAUGCCUGGAUGUUGCUCUUUAAGGGCAAUGAGACGCCACCGGCCAUAGACUCGGACCGCGGGCACGAUCUUGUCCAUCCUACCAGUGAGGUAAGUCUUUCAUGUCUCAAGGUGUAUCCUCUACUUGCUUGUUCCGGGAGGAUAUCUAAACUUUACUAUUUUUUAUUUUUUCAGGUAUGGACAGAGAAAGCGGAGCGGAUUCAAUGUUCGGCUCCGCUGCUCGAGGAACCAGUCAUCCCGCUCCUGGCGAAGAUGCUGGUCCCGACGCCCUAUCAGGUGCUGAAGAAGAAGGCCAAGGGGGUCCAGAGUGGUCCCCGCCGCAAGGGAGCUUUGGAUGUGUCGUCCGAAGAAAAGACUCACUCCUCCGCCGCCGAAGACAAUGAUGAGGAGGAGGAAGAAAGUAACUCUCCCUUUGAUGGGGGGAGGAAGAAGAGGGCGGCCUCCGCAAAUCUAGAGGCGGAGGCGCCCAAGAGGGGGAAGGGCCCCCUUGCGGAUAACUCCAUGUGGGACGUUGACAGCAGCCCGGAGCGACGCCCCCGAAAUAAGCCCCUGGCUGCAUCGGAAGUACUAGAAACCCACAUACGUCCAUGUACUCGGUCUCUCUUCAUGGUAUGAACAUGUUUAAUCAUGCUAUUGCAGUCCGGCCCACAACAGCUCCCUGCGAUCCUCAUCAGGAGGUUCACUGGAUUCGAAGGCGAUGGCCAGCGAGUCUCCGCCGGCUGCUCACUCUCCCAAGGCCAAGGGCGACACCGAGGUGCUGUCUUGAAGGACCUUCCCAAGCCAAGAGGAGGUUCAGGAGGCCGUCAGGGAAGCGAUGGAGGGUGAAACCUUGGAUGCCGAACACCUGGGGGGGGGGGGCAGAUCCCCAUGGAGAUCGGCGAUCGGGGCCAUGUUCAGUUUGGCCCCCAGCCGGAUACGGUUCCGGAGACCUAUACGGCUCCGAAAUCCGGCGAACAGCCUCCUUCGAGAGAAGGAGGUGUGCCUAUCUCGCCGGUGACCUCUGUCCAACCAGAGGCACCGGAUAAUCUGUUGGAAGCGCUACGAGGCGCUUCCAUUGUGGAUGAACACCGUAUCCUUAUGUGGACGGUGAUUGAGAGGGUUCAGUCUGUCAAGAGCAGACUAACCGAAGCUGCAGCAGCCUGUUGACAAGUUUUGAGGUAAGUGACGUAAUAGAGAAAGUCCCAACAUAGACAGUGUAGCCCUGAGACACUGUCCGGUGUUCAGAAAGAAAAGCCUGACAGAGGAUCAAGAAAUUUUCACAGGAAACUAACUAAAUAUGUCUUAUGAACACAGGCGUCGCUGCUGGCCGCCACCUCUCAUGCCGCUGAGGUCUCCGGACUAAAGCAGAGUCUGGACCGGGCUAAAGAAGAGCUCUGCCUUGUGAAAAGGCGGCUGGAGGAUAGGCAAGGUAUGUGGAGACUUGCUAUAUGUUCGGAAAGAAUAAACGAUGUAUAUUGAUUGUAGUGCCGUGAUAUUUGUAGGAGCGGCGACUGAGGUUGAAACCCUCAAGAAAGUGCUGGCCGAGGCCGAGGAGAGGGCGGCGAAGGAACGAGCCAUCUGAAAAAAGCAUGAGGCCAGGGUUAGGGAGGUCCAGCAGGAGCUCCAGGAUGCUUCGAAGAAAUACGAGUCCUUGGAGCGUCAACAUGUGGACCAAGAAUCCAAACUCGUUAAGGUCCACCAAAGCGCAUAAGAGGCCCGAGCCGAAGCCCAAGGCGCCCUCCGAGAGAUCCAGGAGGCCAAGAAGAUCGUGGUGGGUAAGGAUUUCAUUAUGCAAAGAAAGUAUGUGAGCCCGAGGUAUCUUUUACUGACUCGGAUUUGGAGUUCUCCAAGGGCGUUUGCAGAUUUGCCGCGCAGUGUUUCUGGCGCUGCAGAAUUCUUCCGGGCCGAAGAGGGGAGCUCAAUGGAGAAGUUGUUCUAGUCACAAUACCUUGCCCCAGAACACCCGGUGCCCUUUAGCGACCAACUAAAGCAGUUGGUCGAGCUGCAUAGGGUGGCCGGACUAGCCAUGAAGGAUUUAAUAAUCCGGCUGUGGCCUACAGAAGCUAUACCCGACAGCUACUUCGGCCUCGUGAAGUGGCUGGUCAAUGCCUGCCCGCGGCUAGAUGCCAUCAAGCGGUCGGUCUGCAUAGAAGGUGCGCGGAUGGCCUUCGCCCGCGUCAAGAUACAAUGGGCGAAGAUGGAUGCCGUCAAACUCGCGACGGAAGGACCGCCUGCAGGCAAGGAGCACCGCACGCCCGAGCGGUAUUUUGAAGAUGUUCUGAAGGGAUCCCGCAUUGUGGCGGAGCAAUGUGCUAAGGACAUAAUUUUUGAAUGAAUACAGUCAUGUAAUCCCUCCCUGUAUGAUAAAAACAAGGCUUGAUAUGUAAUAUAAUGCUUUGCUAUUUUGCUUAGUUAAAAAAUUUACCUCCUGCGCGGCCGUUUUUAUCAAAUUUGAGAGUUGGCCAGUCAUCGGCUUCAGCCCCCACGUAGGUAGUACGGGGGUGUUCGGGAUGAAUCUAAACAUGCUUUAUCCAAGAGUUUGGUCCUUAAAGGAGGUGUUUAGCGCAAUGAACCGGGCAAUCGGACUAUGUGGCUUUAUUACCCUCACUUAGCCACAGGAGUUUGACAAAUGAAAAUAUAGGCGCAACCCCUAGUGUCCAGACUAGGGUGUUGUAAACACCUGAUCGGAUGAGAACCGAUUCGUCGCGUAAUGCGGGAAAGAUCGCUAAAGAUUUGAAACCUCCGAAGAGCUGACCGGCUCACGCCGUAUCAUGACAGUCAGUUUUCGGCUUUCUCUACUGAGGUGCUCAUCCAGAUAAACCGGGACACAAUCGCAGUAGUUCUCCCUUUACUACCCUAGCCGAUAUAGCGAAACGUAAGGUAGUAAGCACAGGAGCCGGGCAACCCAACUAUUGACCAAAGACAUGAUUCGGAGCCGAUGCAUAUAAUGCUAAAUUCAGGAUGCCGAACUAUAGUAUAAAAGUGUCCGGACUUGUUGCCAUAGUGUGGGGCGCAAUAAAGCCCCUGACGGAUUAUGGCGUACCAAGGUGUACGAAAGCAAAUUAAAAUAGCAAAAAUAAAAAUAAUGAAGAAGAAGGUGCCACGUAUGUUGGGCCACAAAUUGUUUCCAUUAUAAUUUUAAUUAAUAUGUCAGAGUGUACGUGAACAAAAAAGUGCGAGAAGCAACAGUGGUUAUUUGACAUGCCAAGACCAAGGAGGAGCUGCGUACGGGUCCUGAAGACAGGUAGAGUGAUCGCCAAGAGGGACAUCUAGAGAUUCCCCCACACAUCUGUGCUACUUGCCACCUUGGUGUAUCCGUUCUUCAAAAGGAUCGAUUAUGAGGCCGGCGAGAGGUACCUGCGGAAAGGAAACCUGAGGAGGGAAAAAGGAAAAAGUGAAAGUAUGCGUGUCCAGUGGAGGUCGAGCCUUAUUGUGGAUCACAAUCUAGUUAUGCCUCCGUCUGUGCCCACGGUAUUUUGAGUGUGUAGUUAUGUACGCGUGGCACGAACGCCGUCACUUGGUGUGGUCUGGGAUGGAGGCCGAAUUGCUAGUUGAGCUCUUGACAAGCUGGGCUGUCUUGGCGCAUGGUAGUCCGGACUCGUUUGACAGUGUCCGGGAGUAUGGCUGCCGAAUUAAGGUUAUAUUUGCGGAGGGCGCUCUGUACUUCUGUUGCCAGGGCAGCAGUGUGGUCCUCGGUACGGAGGGAGCGCUCCGUAUUUCCAUUGAAUGUUAUGACACCGCGUGGUCCGGGCAUCUUGAGCUUGAGAUAAGCAUUGUGCGGCACCGCAUUGAAUCGGGCAAACGCAGUUCGCCCGAGCAAUGCGUGAUAGCCACUGCGAAAGGGGACGAUAUGGAAGAUUAACUCCUCGCUUCGGAAGUUGUCCGGAGGUCCGAAGACGACCUCCAAUGUGAUUAAGCCCGAGCAACGGGCCUCUACACCUGGUAUAACUCCUUUAAAGGUGGUGUUGGUGGGCUUGAUCCUUGAUGGGUCGAUGCCCAUUUUGCGCACUGUAUCCUGAUAAAGCAGGUUGAGGUUGCUGCCGCCAUCCAUGAGGACUCGUGUGAGAUGAAAUCCAUCCAUUAUUGGAUCGAGGACCAGUGUGGCCGACCCCUCGUGACGGAUACUGGUCGGAUGGUCCCUGCGAUCAAAAGUGAUCGGGUAGGAAGACCAUGGGUUGAACUUUGGGGCGACUGGCUCCAUUGCGUAGACGUCCCUGAGCGCGCGCUUGCAUUCUCUCUUGGGGAUGUGGGUAGCGUAUAUCAUGUUUAUUGUUUUAACUUGGGAGGGGGGACUUCUUCUGUCCUCCUGUGUUCGAUGGCCGGGGCUCCUCGUCAUUGUCUUCGCUUUGCGACCCCUUCUCCUUGUUCUAUGCAUUUAACUUGCCGGCCUGUUUAAAAACCCAACAGACUCUGUUGUUGUGAUUGGCUGGUUUGUCAAGAGUGCCGUGUAUCUGGCAUGGGCAAUUGAGUAUGCAGUCCAAGCUGGAUGGGCCCGAAUUGUUCCUUUCGAACGGCUUCUUCCGCUGGACGGACUUGGAGCCGCUGAAUCCGGCGUUGACCGCCAUGUCAUCGGUAUUGUCACCGUUGUUUUGACGCUUGUGUCUGUUGCAUCGGGGCUUGCCGUUGCUAUUCUUGGCUUCCACAGUGCCAAGUUCGCUUGCCCUGUUUUUGCUACGAGCUAGCCAGCUAUUUUCGCCCGCGCAAAAGCGGGUCAUAAGUGCCAUAAGGGUUGCCAUGGACUUCAGCUUCUCUUGGCCGAGGUGUCGGGCGAGCCAUUUGUCCCGGAUGCUGUGUUUGAAGGCCGCCAAGUCUUCAACAUCCGGACAGUCGAUGAUAUGGUUCUUUUUAUUUAAGAACCUAGUCCAGAGUUUCCUGGCCGACUCUCCAGGCUGUUGAAUUAUGUGACUUAAGUCAUCGGCAUCCGGAGGUCGAACAUAUGUAUCUUGGAAGUUGUCAAGGAAGGCUUCUUCCUAGUCCUCCCAGCUGCCAAUAGAAUUUUUGGGCAGGCUAUUCAGCCAGUGUCGGGCUGGCCCUUUGAGUUUUAGGGGGAGGUAUUUAAUGGCAUGAAGGUCAUCGCCGCGGGCCAUAUGAAUAUGGAGAAUAAAGUCUUCAAUCCAUACCGCGGGGUCUGUGGUUCCAUCGUAUGAUUGGAUAUUCACGGGUUUGAACCCUUCUGGGAAUUCAUGUUCCAUGACUUCAUCAGUGAAGCAGAGAGGGUGUGCGGCGCCUCUAUAUCGGGCCAGUUCGUGACGUAGUUUGGAUGGAAUCCGUCUGCGGCUUUCGGCUCGGACGUAAUUGUACUUGCCAUGUUUGGCUUGAUAGCUAUCCUCGUGCGUCGAGGCAUGCCCCCGUGAUCCGUAGAUUGAUCUAGUCAGACCUGUUUUAUUCUUCAGGCCCUGCCGGAGAUCAUAUGUUUAUCCCUGAGCAGUUUUGUCUCUGCCUUUACGGCGAGGUAAGGCAGGCUGGUGUUCGGCCUGUGUUGCCGCUUUGUCCCGGCCGCGUGGCGGUCGGUCAGCCGCACUGUGCGCUGAUGACACGGGCCCCAGUGCCUCAUCAUCGAAUUGAGGUAGUAAUUUGCGAUUCGGAUAACUUUUGAGUGGUCGCUUGAGGCCAUAUUCCUCGGCUUCCAGGACGUUAGUCCAUCUGUCAUUGAGCAGGUCUUGAUUAGCUUGAAGCUGUUGCUGCUUCUUUUUCAGGCUCCUUGCAGUGGCUAUUAGCUUGCGCUUGAAGCGCUCCUGCUCGAGAGGUUCCUCAGGCAUGAUAAAAUCCUCAGUGCCGAGGCUUGCCUCACCCUCGAAAAGCGGAAGAUAAUUACUGUCCUCCGAGUCUUCGUGCGUAGCCUGUUCACCAGGGCUAACUUGCCUGUCUUCCUGUUCAUUUUGUUCGGCAGUUGCCUCAACGGGGUCUUCAUUGUCUUCGGUACCGUCCAAAGUGUUAUCUUCUUCUGUGCCGGUGUUGCUGUCUUUGCUGCGGCGUGACUUAGAGCGGUGCCGCUGAUGCCAGCGCUUUGGUUGUAUCUUGGGAGGUUUAUCCUCAACUGGAUCUUUCUUGUCAUCGCCGCUAUUCUCUUUGGUGCAUCCACCAUGUAUACGUCAUACGAGGAAGUGGGCGUCCAACGUCCGGUAAACGACGGGUUUUGGGCCUCUUCUUCUCCGACAUCGUCGUCCAUACCAUUGAUGUCGUCGGAGCCGUAAUCGAGCAUGUCAGUUAGGUCUUUGACAGUGGCUAUUAAGUGGGCGGGGGGGUGGGAAGCGAAAUUAUCCGUCAUCCCGCUAUGGAGAGUGUUUUUAAUGAGUUUAGCACGUCGCCUAAAGGUGAGUGCCAGAAGAUGUCCACGGAGCUGAAUUCAACAAUCGACACCCGAUCAAGCUCGUCGUGCACGGACGCACAUGCCUUGGAACCUGUAGCCGGAAACGUGUCUGAGGUUCUGGCAACACAGAUCUCACUUGAUGUUGGGUCUGUGUGCGGCUGCAACGCCGCUGAGUCUGCGGCCUCCAUGGCAGGGCUGAGCCUCCCGUCCUCGGAUGGCGUGAUCUGCUCCAGAUCUAGAGCCGGAGCGGUUGUAGGUUCCAUCUCCUGGGUGUGGUUCGAUGACAGAUUUAAGUCAUGUUCAUCGUGGUGACAGGGAGCGGCUACUGCCGCAGUCUCGAAUCCGUCGAAGAUCAAGUCUCCGCGGAUGUCCGCGACAUAGUUCAAGCUUCCAAAUCUGACCUGGUGGCCAGGGACGUAGCUAUCGAUCUGCUCUAGAUGGCCAAGCGAGUUGGCCCGCAGUGCGAAGCCGCCGAACACGAAGAUCUAUCCAGGGAGGAAGGUUUCUCCCUGGAGAAUGUUGUUGUGGAUGAUUGAGGGGGCCAUCGAACCUCUUGGCGGCAACAUAGCGGAUCUCUCAGUGAAAGCACCAAUGUCGGUGUCAAAACCAGCAAAUCUUGGGUAGGGGGUCCCGAACUGUGCGUCUGAGGUUGAUGGUAACAUGAGACAGAGAACACAAUGUUUACCCAGGUCGGGGGCCUUUCGAUGGAGGUAAAACCCUACGUCCUGCUAGAUUAGUAUUGAUGAGUAUGGGGGUUACAAGAGUUGAUCUACCACGAGAUCGUAAUGGCUAAAACCCUAGAAGUCUAGCCUAUCUGAUUAUGAUUAUCAUCGUUCCCCUCUAAGGAUCUAGCCCUCUGGUUUAUAUAGACACCAGAGGGAUCUAGGGUUACAUAAAGUCGGUUACAGUGAAAGGAAUCUACAUACUUGGUCGCCAAGCUUGCCUUCCACGCCAAGGAGAAUCUCAUCCGGACACGGGUAGAGUCUUCGGUCUUUGUAUCUUCACAGCCCAUCAGUCCAGCCCAUGGCUAACAGGCCGGACGCCCGAGGACCCCUUAGUCCAGGACUCCCUCAGUGGUGGCCAACAAAGGAAGAGGUCGGGGCGGUCAGCGACACAUGGCCUGCCGCGGGAGGCAGGGCGGGUGGCAGGGUCGUAGGAUCGACGGUGGGAUCGACGACGACGACAUGUAGAGAGUCGCAUGAAGUUUUACGCAGGAGAUGAAAGGUACUUGGUGUGAAGCAUUACAGAAAGGGCCAUCUUCCCCAUGAUGGAGGGGAAGUUUUAAAGAUUUUAUGAUAUGCUGUAAGAUAUUUGCGAGUUUAUCAAACUGUUGGAUCACUUUUCAGCCAACUUCUUCUAAACCACAAUUAUUUGACAGAUGUGGGAACUGUGUGUGUGUGUGGAGGGGGGGCUAUGCAGGAGUCUGGACAACAGUCGCGCAAGAAUUUGACACCCCGGGCCACCCAAUCCCCCUCUCGGUCCCAUUCCUUCCACUUCGCCCCUUCUUCCCCCUUUCUUUGCAUCUACACCCUCCACCUCCACCAGCGUCUCUGUACUUCUCCGGCUGCCAUAGAGGCAUUGUCGGAUGUUCGCACCCAACACCGGUGCACCAGCUCGCGCUGUCCACCAUGGAGUCAUUUGUACGUAGGUACACUUCGCCCCCUUGUCGACGACCACCAUGGAAAACACUACUCUCGGCAGGUGUUCGGUCAAAUGCCAUUGAGCUUAUUUUCGAACGCUAUGUCAUUUUUUAGAGUACGAAGGAUGUCGAGCUACUUGACCAUGGAGGAUGAGUAGUUGUGCGAUGCGUGGUUGGCCGUAUCCGUGGAUUUUGUAGGCAGGAGCGGAGGGGGGACCUUUUGGCAGCAAGUGAAUGAAUUGUUUCACGCAUGAAAGAACAGUGUGCCUUAUGACAUGUACAUCAUUCAAGAGCGCAACAUGAGGUUGUUAUCGUAUUGCUGGUACGCUAUCCAGACCAGCAUCACCAAGUUUUGUAAUGUGGUUCGUCAGCUGAAGGCAAGGUGGCCAUUACACGUGGCGAAGGACGAGAUCACAUGUUUUGCUUCCUUUUGCUCAACUUUGUUGAUUGAUUCAUUCACUCAAUGUUUGUCUACACAUUAUGUAGCCUGCCCGCGCUGUCGUGAUGUACCACAGGACAGAUGGACGGUCAUUUAAGUACACACACUACUGGAUCAAGUCGAAGGGGAGUAUGUGUGGGUCGACAUGGUCCAUUGAUAAAAAACUUGUUGGACAUCCGGUUAAUCUAGUCGAAUUUCAGACAUUGUUGUACCAGACUUAAUUUACAUGCUAUGUAUGAAUGAUUUGUGCUAUUUUCGAUCCGAACUUUGAUGAAAUCCGCCGUGUUUGCAUGAAUUUUGUACGGUUCAUAGAAACCUUAAUUGAAAUGUAUGGGGGCAGCGUUGGAUGGUGGCCUCCCGCAUCCGUGUUUGCGGACUGGUCCUCCUAUCCGCGAACAAAUGCGGGAGAAAAAUUGUCGUCGUUGUUGGAGAUACCCUUACCAAAGAAAGCCCUCUAUAGCAAGGCCAGCUUUGUGGAUCUAAUUCAAAACAACUCCAAAUGGCCGACCCAUUUCGUCCACCCAUGUCCCUUUGGGUCAAAGCAGAUAAAAACUCCAGCCCAACGCACCAACCCAAACUCAAAAGCGUCCCUAGACAUCUGCAACGACGCAUUUCAGGCUCAAAUUAGGGACGGGUUUGUGUCAGUGGAGACAUGAAACAGACACACGGUGGCCCCACAUGUCGACCGGCCAACCACCACAAGCGGUCAUAUUUAUUGUGGCCACCUACCGUGGGCCCACACGUCAAUCUACGAGAGACUUCAGCGGCAAUGGCAAGAGCAAGCUCACCCUCGGCACCAGCUCCUCCCACGCUCCUCUUCCGCUGCCGCUGGCGCCUGCAUGCCCCGUGAGGGAGCGACUGCACAUCCCGGUGCACCAAGCGCGAUGGCGCUGGCAGUUCCAGCAGCCGCUGCCGUACCCAAAUGUCACGCUGCUUCACUAAUGGCACCUCGAUCUACAACGCAUCCCGAUGCCGGUAGUGCUGCGGUCGCGCGGGCUGACGCCGAGGAGGUACGGUGGCGCCGGGAGCUCCUGACGCCGAAGCAACGUCGGCUACCUACGCACGCGCCGGACUCUCUCGAUUAGGAGGUCUGGUUUUCCCUCGAGCACGAGGAGCAACGCCAUCGCGACCUCCAUCACCACCACAUCUACCCCCCACCGUCCUCGGUCGUCAAGCCGGAGGAGGAGGCUAUCUACCAGGCGGCAUUGGCGGCGGCCAUGCAGACCUCCAUCGAGGAGGAGCGGCGCAAGGCGGCGGCGGAGGAGGCAGCCUACGAGGCGAGGCUGAGCCCAAGGUCAAGCCGCCAACGCCGGAGCCCGUGGAGCGGUACGUAUGGAUUGGCGGGCUGCGAGUGGGUCAGCCCCCUCCCCCCUCAAGUGGCUCGGCGCGACGCCGACGCAGGAGCAAGUGUACCUCGAGCAGUGGAAGGCCCGCGCACUGGCUGCAUAGCGGGAAGAGGGCGAGCGCCAAAUGCAGGUCAAGCGCCAGCUAGAGGAGGGAGCGUCGUGCCCACAGACAAGUAGUCCAGCUGGCGGUGCUGGCCAACGUGGCCCGGGCUUGGGAGGCGGCAUUCCCCUGGGCGGGCCCCGCGCCGGAGUUGGUCGACCCCACCAGCCCCCGGUCGGUCGACCUCACCGACCCCGGGUCGGACGACGAGGACGCCUAAGGCAGCGCGCGGCGGCGCAAGUUUUUUUAAUUAUGUUUAAUUAAUGUUUAUAUGGACUUUGGCCGACGGUUGAUCAGCUUUUAAUGUUUAAUUAUGUUUAGUUUGAAUGUGUUUGUUGGUUUUUUCUAAAUCCACGGUUAACACACGGGUUAACAUUCUAUGCAUGCAUCGACCGAAAUGAAAAAACGGGCACGAGUGUUUAUGCAGCCGACCCGAACAAUAAGAAGCGGACGAAACGUGCGUACGUUUGGCCGGUUGGAGUUGCUCUUAGUUUCACCACGUAGUACGUAGUGAAACGUUUACGAGGAGUCCGCUACGCAGUGAAACGUUUACGAGCAGUCACGGACUGGUGGCCCCGCUAAUUUAACAGCGGUCCAUGGGCCCGCAUGUCACUAUGUCAGAGAUUGUCCCUCGUAAUUUUGGCCGUGCACGCGGUGCAUCAUAUCCCAGCCGAAAAUACUAGACAGACGACACUCCAUGCACGAUGCAUGCACGAUUUACAAUCAAAUGGAUGUGAAGCACUUUAUUCCCUGAUUCAAUGGCUGGAUGUGGAGGGUCGUUCAUGCAUCGUCCAAAAACGUCGUGUGUAUAGCAGCUCUCUAUCCCAGCUACGCGCCUACGUCCCCAGUAGAGCUGCCCAUUGCACUAGUAGGUGAGCCCAUCAGUUCUUGUGGUGAGACAGGGAGAAAAUGUGGAUUUAAGCAUGCAUGGAAAGUAGCGAAACGAUUCGGCAUGGAGUGAUUGGGGAGAUGAAAUCGAUGAUGAGAUGAUUGAAGGUCCGAUUGAUGAGAUGGGAAGGAGGCGCUCCGUACAACUACUGCUACAGCAGGGGCAGUAGCAGCAGGGGCCGGCAUUAGCAACAGCGGGGGAGAUUGCGAGAUCUCUGCGACUUGAUGGCGCCACUCUUUCCUCUCACGCGGUCACGCCUAGUAGAAAAAAAAAAUGCUAUCUCGACGUCUUCUCCACUCCCUUUAAUCCAUUCCAUCGUGUACAUAUCACUGCAUUUGUUCAGACACGAACACUCAUCGUGUACUCCUCACGUCGAGGGCGAUACACAAGACACAUUGUCGGAGAAGCCUCAUCGGGAGUGUGAUACGAAGGCACGUCAACGAGGUCUUUUGAAGACCCGAUACCCAACACAUCCGGAAGGGACCAUCAGGGAGUGCAGCCGGUAUGCGUUGCCCUAGAUCGACUCAUCAAGAGCGUCGGGCCUGUCCGGCAACUUGGCUGUACAGCCAGGGCAUGCCCAGUUUUGCAUACAACAACAUAAUUAUCGUGCUAUAGAAUUCACAUACGACCUUGAAUGGAGAUGGCCUCAGAAGAAAGUUAUCCAUUUGGACGAGACGGACAAGUUUCAUGUUGAACGUUUUGUGAUUCGAAGUCAUCUUAAAGGUGUUUUGUCUCGUUUUCUAUCUUCUGCAGUAGAAAAAACAUGAAACUUUGCCCGGUCAAUGCCCAGACGCCCGGACCUUUGUCCAGCUUCAAUUCCAACCUCAAGCGAGAGGACACAUAUCAUGUGUUUUGCAGGUGCCCACGGGCUGUGGAUUUAUGGCGUACCAUGGCGGAGGUCUGGAGAAUUCCCGAAGUCACAUCCAUACGGAACACGGGGCCGGAAUGGUUCUUGCACCUCUUGGCAGAGUGUGACGAGGGUGACCGUCUCAGAGUCAUCAUGGUGAUGUGGAGGUGUUAGUUCAUACGUAAUGAGAUCCAACAUGACAAGAAACCACGCCUAUGGAGGUUUCUCGACGCUUCCUAUAGAGCUAUGUUUCCUCGCUGUUGGGUGUACAACAAUUCCUAACAGGAGACUGGGAUAAGGGGAAGAUGGUUCUGCAGCAUGAAGGGGCGGUGCGGCGAUCUUCGCAUGUGUCGACGGGACCAAAGCUUCCUCGGAAGUGGCACCCACCGCCGCAUGGGUGAGCUAAGCUGAAUGUCGACGGAUCCUUCGCCCACGAGGAUGGUACGGCGGGCUCCGGCAUGGUUCUACGCGGUCAUGAUGGCGCCAUCAUCUUCUCUGCUUGCAGAGCCCUGCGUUCGUGCCCUAACCCACUUCAUGCCGAGCUGGAAGGGUGCCGGGAAGGACUCGCACUGGCCUUACAGUGGACAGAGCUACUGAUCACCCUCGAAUGCGAUUGCCUGCAUGAAAUAUCGUUGAUCAAGGCGACGGGACAAGACCGAUCCGAACAUGCAAUGGUGGUUUCAGAGGUCAAGCUUCUUUUGGGUUCUAGGGAGUCUAGUGUUACUCAUAUCUCUAGAGAGCAAAAUAAUGUAAGCCAUGUUUUAGCAAAUUUCGGUAGAACGGAGGACCGUACGGUGGUUUGGCUCCGCUCUGGCCCGGCUAACAUCCCUAGUUUGUGUAGGGAUGAACUUCUAUGCUCUUGAGUAAUACAACCCUUUUACCCCCGCAAAAAAAAAUUCCAACCUCCCGAUGUCUCCAAGAAAUUACAUAGACAAUUUCCUAUAUGUCCAACUUUUCGUCCGACCCUGGGCAGGAUUGUCCGACCAUUCUGAGAUCCUACUAAUGCAGUGCAUUGUUUUGGCCGCGGGGGCUGCAUACAACUUCAGAUUGAGAUGUUCCGAAAAAAGCAAAGUUGUUGGCCUUGACGAUAUCAAGAAUUUUCAUGGUUAUCACUUUUCCAUUUGAAGUAAUCUUAAUUGUGUUUUCUCUCAUGCCAUAAUCUGGUGUCAGUACGUGCAUCUUUAAAUUUGUCAUAACUUUUGUGUCCGAGCUUCGUUUUGGACCAUAUUUAUCUCCAUUUUGAUAAUCUCAGAGAGUGCCAUCAAAUCUAGAAAUCAAAUUUUCAAAUGGACUUCAUCUCCGUAUGGAUUCAGGCCAUUCUUUAUGAUCAUGCCACUUUUGAAGGCCAAACAUUUUCCCUAAGAGUAGCUUGGUCCAUGUUAAUCCGCAUGAAGAUUAUGAUAUACUUGCUGAAUGUUUGAUUUUCGAGGCGCGAUCUUUUGCAUUUCCACCUAUCCAUAUUUGCUAGUCUCUCCGGUAUCAUGCAAUGCUCACUCCCACCUCGAGAUUUGGUGCAUCAUUUGCCGAUACAUCCAAACCUCGUGGGAGAACUUUGUAACGUCUCAAAUUUUAUUAAAUUGGGAUGUUAAUAGAAUCAUUUAUGCAUAUCAUAUUUUAUUGCAUCUUGGAGUUUUAUUAAAUGUUCAAAUAUUUUUCCACUCAAGAAAAAUAAAAGAGAGAAGAUAAAAUGACUUCUUCAAUAUAAAAAGAGUUGGAAUAGUAUUAGAAUAUUAUUUGGAGUUUUUCAAGUUUAUUUGAUAAUUAUUUUAUUGGCCAAAAGUGGAUUUGUUGCAUAAAAUAAAUAUUUUUAAAAUUAUAUGAGUAGAACAAAAUGUUCACUAUGCACCAUAUUAUCAACAAUGGUUUUAGGAAUUAUUCUGGUAUUUUUAUAAAUCCGUCUGGUUUUGUUUUUUUACCCUAAAGCAUUUUCUGUAAUAAAAAAAACAAUGCCAAGACCGAAACUCAGUUCGGCCCAGGAGCACAUCGACUAGGCCAACCCACCCUUCGCGCCAGCCGCCCACCCUCAUCUCUCUCUCCCGCACUCACCAAUAGGUGGGAGCCCCACGUUAUCAUCCCCAACCUCCCACCACACUGCUCAAAAUUAGCUAUCUCUCGCGCGCAACCGUCGGGUAAAGCUCUCGGGAUAGAGCUUAUCCGCCGCAGCCCCACACGCUCUGAGCUUGCCUAUAUAAAGACCAGGACCCCCUCUCUCAAUCUCAUCGUCCUGCUCAUCUUCAUGCUGCCCUCACCGUUGACCCUCCUUGUUUGAAUCUCGUCGGAGCCGAGCCACCUUAUCGUCGAUUUCGUCACCGGUAAGCCACCCGAAGACCCCUCGCUCUGUUCUUUUGAAACCCCGCUACCACACGCACCCAUUUGUCACCUUUUUGCCGCCUAGGUCAUGCCGGAGACGCCGCCUCAACGACCCCUCACCCGCCGGAGCACCAGAGCUCCACCGCGAUCCCCUGCUCGACCCCAUCAUCGCCGAGGACCACCGCCACCAUCGUUCAAACUGCCUCGUCGAGCCACACCCCUUCGUCUACUUUACCAACGUCGGAGACCGCCAAAGACGCUACCCCCUCAUCACCCGCCACCUGCAUCGCCGCCGUGUUCGUCGUCGACACAGUUGUCCCGUUGUAAGCCGCCGCCACUCCACUUGUUCAUUAGAUCGUAGAUUGACGGCUUAGAUUAGAUUAAUUUAGUUUUUUAUUUUUGAACCAGUAUGUGCUAAGUUUUAGAUGGCCGCUGUUUAACCUUGGCGGCGAAUGGGUAUGCACCAGUAGCAUCGUGCCACGUGUCCAGGGACCUAUUUGUGAUUAUUUUUCUUCACUAUUUAGUCCCUGAGUUUCACAGUUUAGUCCCUGAAUUUUGAAUAGCCAUAGUUUUGUGCUCGUAGAUCUAAACUAGAUGAAACAAGCGGCAAAAUGUUCAUCUCGAAUAGCUUUAUCCAGUGAACCCAUCUUUGCAAACUUUUUCAAAUUUCAAAUUGGAAUUUAUUUAGAUUCAAAUUUAAACUCUAUUUGGCCAUAUUCCUAAACCAUAUAUACGUUUGAAUUAAUUCUUUUUACACUUUGGAACCCUAGCCAAAUCCUAAGACUUGAAAUGGUAUGCGCACACAAUUAGGAUCUGUCCAUGAUAAUUUCACUCCUAAGCCAUGUAUAAACUUUAGUUCACAUCACAAUUUUUGAACCUUAUUUCACAUGUUGCUUUUUGCACUUAGAAAAUUUUCAUGAAAGUUAAGUGUGUUGGAUUUUUUAUUUGGGGUUUCCAAGUCUUUUCAUGUUGCAUGUUGUUUUGAUUCUCUGAAUGAUGCUUAUGUGUGUUUAUUUACUUUGGCGAUAGAUUAUCCAGAGUGUGAAUCCGAGUAUUAUCAUUCUCUAGAAUUGAACCACCUAUAUCAAGGCAAGUUUACAUCUUGAUCAUACUUUUAUUACCUAUGUUUUUAUAUGCACUUAGUUCUUUGUGGUAGGAUUGCAUGAUUAGGAUCUAUGCCGGAUGGCUAUGCUUCGCCUAGUAGUUCAUUUGAGGUAGGUCUGAACUUUACAACCUUUGUCGACACCGUGUAAGAUUCUAUUGCCUCACCAAAGUACACUGGGUCUAGGAAGUGUUGUUAUGGUGAGACAUGAGUGACAAAGUAGUAAUCAGGACCAAGACUUUUAAUGAACUACCUGGGCGGAAUAGGUUUGAAUGGUGGCGAAGUACAACGGGAGCAGUCAUGGGAAAUCCAUGGGAGUGCACACUAGUGGCCCGUCCGCUCAGGCUCAAAGGGAUCUGAUAACCCACAAGUAUAGAGGAGCACAACUGUUUUCGAGGGUAGAGUACUCAACCCAAAUUUAUUGAUUCAACACAAGGGGAGCCAAGGAAUAUUUGUAAGUAUUAGCAGUUGAGUUGUCAAUUCAACCACACCUGGAGAUCUAAUAUCUAUAGCAAAGUGAUCAGUAGCACAGUAGUAUGAUAGUUUUAUAGUGAUAGCAGUGAUAGUAACAAUAACGGUAACAGUGACAAUGGUAUUGGUAAUUUUGUAGCAGUUGUAACAAUAGUAACUUAGCAAGAACAAAAUGUGAAAAGCUCGUUGGCAUUGGAUCGGUGAAUUCGUUGGAUGAUAUUCAUCAUAUAACAGCCAUAACCUAGGGCGAUACAAAACUAGCUCUAGUUCAUAAAUAUAAUGUAGGCAUGUAUUCCGUAAAUAGUCAUACGCGCUUAUGAAAAAGAACUUGUAUGACAUCUUUUGUCCUAACCUCCCGUGGUAGCGGGGUCCAUAAGGAAACUAAGGGAUAUUAAGGCCUCCUUUUAAUAGAGAACCGGAACAAAGCAUUAACACAUAGUGAAUACAUUAACUCCUCAAACUACGACCAUCACCGGAAAGUAUCCCAAUUAUUGUUACCUUGGGGUUUACGGAUCAUAACACAUAAUAGGUGCAUAUGACUUGCAAGAUCGGAUCACAAACAUAUAUAUAAUGGUGAUAAUAUAAAUGGUUCAGAUCUGAAAUCAUGGCACUUGAGCCCUAGUGGCAAGCAUUAAGCAUAGCAAAGUCAUAGCAACAUUAAUAUCAGAACAUAGUGGAUACUAGGGAUCAAGACCUGACAAAACUAAAUCAAUUACAUGAUGAGUCUCAUCUAACCCACCGUCCGACAAGCCUACGAAGGAAUUACUCACUCCCGUCGGUGAGCAUCAUGAAAUUGGUGAUGGAGGAUGGUUGAUGAUGACGAAGACUGAUACGUCUCCAACGUAUCUAUAAUUUUUGAUUGUUCCAUAUAUAUUAUAUUAUCUGUUUUGGAUGUUUAAUGGGCUUUAUUAUACACUUCUAUAUUAUUUUUGGGACUAACCUACUAACCCAAGGCCCAGUGCAAGUUGUUUUUUUUCUAUUUCAGUGUUUCGCAGAAAAGGAAUAUCAAACGGAAUCCAAACGGAAUGAAACCUUCGGGAGAGUUAUUUUUGGAACAAACGUGAUCCAGGGGACUUGGAGUAGACGUCAAGAAAGGAGCGAGGAUGCCACGAGGCAGGGAGGCGCGCCUGUGCCCCUUGGGCGCGCCCCCACGCUCGCGGGCCCCUCGCAGCUCCACCGGCCUACUUCUUCCUCCUAUAUAUAUAUCCAUAUACCCCAAAAACAUCCAGGAGCACCAUGAAACCCUAUUUCCACCGCCGCAACCUUCUGUAUCCAAGAGAUCCCAUCUUGGGGCCUUUUCCAGAGCUCCGCCAGAGGGGGAAUAGAUCACGGAGGGCUUCUACAUCAAUACCAUAGCCUCUCCGAUGUUGUGUGAGUAGUUUACCAAAGACCUUCGGGUCCAUAGUUAUUAGCUAGAUGGCUUCUUCUCUCUAUUUGGAUCUCAAUACAAAGUUCUCCUCGAUCUUCUUGGAGAUCUAUUCGAUGUACUUCUUUUUGCGGUGUGUUUGUCGAGAUCCGAUGAAUUGUGGGUUUAUGAUCAAGAUUAUCUAUGAACAAUAUUUGAUUCUUCUCUGAAAUCUUUUAUGUAUGAUUUGUUAUCUUUGCAAGUCUCUUCGAAUUAUCAGUUUGGUUUGGACUACUAGAUUGAUCUUUCUUGCAAUGGGAGAAGUGCUUAGCUUUGGGUUCAAUCUUGCGGUGUCCUUUCCCAUUGACAACAGGGGCAACAAGGCACGUAUUGUAUUGUUGCCAUCGAGGAUAAAAAGAUGGGGUUUAUAUCAUAUUGCUUGAGUUUAUCACUCUACAUCAUGUCAUCUUGCCUAAUGCGUUACUCUAUUCUUAUGAACUUAAUACUCUAGAUGCAUGCUGGAUAGCGGUCGAUGUGUGGAGUAAUAGUAGUAGAUGCAGAAUCAUUUCGGUCUACUUGUUGCGGAUGUGAUGCCUAUAUACAUGAUCAUGCCUAGAUAUUCUCAUAAUUAUGCACUUUUCUAUCAAUUGCUCGACAGUAAUUUGUUUACCCACCGUAAUACUUAUGCUAUCUUAAGAGAAGCCACUAGUCAAACCUAUGCCCCCCGGGUUUAUCUUCCAUCAUAUAAGUUUCCAACCUAUUUUACUUUGCAAUCUUUACUUUCAAUCUAUAUCAUAAAAAUACCAAAAAUAUUUAUCUUAUUAUCUCUAUCAGAUCUCACUAUUGUAAGUGACCGUGAAGGGAUUGACAACCCCUUUAUCGCGUUGGUUGCGAGGUUCUUAUUUGUUUGUGUAGGUUCGAAGUGACUUGCGUGUAGUCUCCUACUGGAUUGAUACCUUGGUUCUCAAAAAUUGAGGGAAAUACUUACGCUACUUUGCUGCAUCACCCUUUCCUCUUCACGGGAAAACCAACGUAGUGCUCAAGAGGUAGCAAGAAGGAUUUCCGGCGCCGUUGCCGGGGAGGCUUACACCAAGUCAAGUCAAGAUUCGAUCUCCCGCCAACGUGUGAUUUCUGGCGCCGUUGCCGGAGAGAUCUACGCACAAGUCAAGACAUACCAAGUACCCAUCACAAACUCUUAUCCCUUUGCGUUUUCUUUGCCUUCUUCCCGUAUGUAUCUUUGUUUGUGUUUUCAUGUGACUUCUAUUUGCUUGCAUCUUUGCUUGCUAAAAAUCUAUUGAUAUGGAUCCACUUAAAGUGUUCUACUUGGAUCAUCUUUGAUCCUUAUAUGCUCGUGCUGAAACCCCAACUAGCCUGGUUGAUGGGAAAUCUUUAGGUGAGCAUGCUCAUUUUGUGCCUAACCGUUUGUCUGAAAAAUGGAGACUCUUAUGGGAUCAAAUAAACAGAUUGCUGUGUUAUGCUUGGAAUCUUUGUGAAAUUUAUGAUUUUACUUGUUGCUCUAAGAACCCUAAAAAACACCUCCCCUACCUAUGUGAGUUUAAUGAUAAUGAAAUCUUAUCUUCUUAUGCAAAGGGUGUUUAUAGUUACUAUGAUAUCGAACAAAUUGAAGAAUUUGUUGCUUUUAAGGGUGCUUAUGAAGUUGCUUCUUUGAUUGAAAAGUAUGAUGUUACUCUCUACGAAUCUGAAAAUUUUGACAUACUUAAAUAUUGCUAUGAAAACUAUGCUCAUAAUGUCCAUGUCAAAGAAUUUAUUGAAAGCAUGACCGCUGCUUGGGAAGAAAAUAAUGAUAUGCAUGAAUCUAUAGAUAAUUAUGAUUUCGAUGAUUUGAUUGAAAUAUCCCUUGAUGAACAUGAUGCUUGCUAUUCUUGUGGCCAUGAUGCCAAUAUUUAUUAAAAUGAGUUUGCUAUAGUUCCUUAUGUUAAACAUGAGAUCAUUGCUAUUGCACCCAUACCUGAUAGUUCCUUCAAUGAAAAGUAUGAUUGUAAUGAUGUUAUUAUAAAUUGUCUUAAUGACAAUUGUGUUAAUGAUAUGCAAAACCUCAAGCUUGGGGAUGCUAGUUUUGCUAUGACUACUAUUUGUUGCAAUGAUCAUGAUUGGGGUGAUUCUUCUUUUGAUCUUGAAAAUUUAUUUAAGCCCCAUGAUGAAUAUGAGAUUGAUAAUAGUGUUUGCAAUUAUUGAAAGUGGGUUUGGAAGAGUGUCAACUUUAGAUCCCACAUAUUUGGAGAAUGUUCAAUCUUAUGAAGUUUUUGAUAAAAGUGGGUUUGGAGAGGUCAUGACUUUAGUUAAUGUUAAUCCCACUAUUUUGGAAGAGUGUCAACUUUGCAUGCAUGUGGAUCGUGUUGAAAAUAUCUUAUGUGAUAGCUAUUUUGUUGAAUUUGCUUAUGAUCCCACAUGUAAUUAUUAUGAGAGAGGAAAUAUGAUUGUAGAAAUUUUCAUGUUACUAAAUUACCUCUCGUUAUGUUGAUAUUGCUAUUGUUUCUUUCCGCUUCCUUGCAUAUGCUAGUUUUUGCUUGCUAUGAUAAUUUGUUUGCCUAUAAGAUGCCUAUGCAUAGGAAGUAUGUUAGACUUAGAUGUGUUUGUCACGUGUUUUAUGAUGCUCUCUUUGUGCUUCAAUUCUUGUCUUUCAUGUGAGCAUCAUUGAAAUCUCUAUGCCUAGACCGAAGAUCGUCCUCUCCAGAGCCCCGAACGGUCUCCAAAUAUGGCCUCCCGGUGAAGAACAUGAGGUGGCGGCGGCUUCAUAUCGCAAAACGCGAUGAAACUUCCUCUCCUAUUUUUUCUAGCAUCGAAAUUAGGGUCAACGGAGCUUCUUGGGCCCCACUACCCACCAGGGCACGCCAGAGAGGGGUGGCGCGCCCUGGUGCUUUGUGGGCAGCUGGAGGGGGGGGCCCUCCGAUGGGUCUUGGUUCCAGUAUUUUUAUUUAUUCCAAAAUAAUUCUCCAAAAAGUUUCGUCCAAAUCUGAGAACUUUUAUUUCUAUGCAAAAACGACACCAUGGUAGUUCUGCUAAAAACGGCGUCAGUGCGGGUUAGUUUCAUUCAAAUCAUGCAAAUUAGAGUCCAAAACAAGAGCAAAAGCAUUAGGAAAAGUAGAUACAAUGGAGACAUAUCAGGAUCGUACAUGUUUUCAUGACUAGAAGCUUACGUGUGUAGCCACAAGCCAUUAUGGCCUCUAGCUUAGUUGGGCAGUUAGUGUGACCUCUUUCUGGGAUAGGCUAGCAGAUGUACAAUAUGUAGGUGUAUCGGCCUAUCAGUGGGUUAAGGGGGAAUACAUUUGAAAGACUAUGUCUCGGUCUUCCGAUCAAGGAGGUGGUCAAGUCUUGUGGGGAAAAGUGUGCAAACCUAUGUAGAGUCAACCUAAUCGAUUAGCCUUGUCCCCAGUUACAGACAUCUUGAGCACCUAGAAGUGGAAUUGUCGGGAGAUGUCAUCACCCUUACUUUAGGAAUAGAUUGAUUUGGGGGGGGGUACCAUCUCAAUCAUAUGCUAUUUGUAGUGGUAGAAUAAUUUCUUUUAUAAUAGGGAGAAAUCAACUUUAUGCAAAAAAAAUUAAACUGAGAGCUUUCCACCAGCCAAAUCGAAUGUACAAGUAGGAUUAUUAUACUCUUAUGAUAUGGCUUGCCAGUACAUUCCAUGUACUUACCUACACGGCUGCAACCUAUCAUGUUGCAAAUUUAUCUGACAAGGAUUAAGGUGUGGUAGGUCGAUUGUCUACACUUAGCUUUUGCUCGUAGAGUUGAUGGACUCAUUUACUUCUAUGCUUCCGCAAUAUUUGUUUUAUUUGGCCUUACGCCAUAUCUUUGUAAUAAAUUUGUAUUACUCCUGGACUAUCGAUGAAAUAAGGAUGUGUGUUAUUUCUGUUAUUUCAUCGAGUACUGUGUGUGCUAGCAAGUCGAUCCAAGGACUAGCACAGUAAGCACAGAGACUCCAAUCCUUUUUGGGUUGGGUCGCUACAAACUUCCUUUUGUUCUCCUACACAUAAACCAUCUACCUUCCUUAAAUUAGUCACCAUAUCUACUUAUCAUGGCAUCCAUGACCAUUCCAAGAUAUAUGUUCAUGCAACUUCCUUAAUCGUUCAUUACAUGAUUAGAGAUAUUUAUUUGCCUUGCAUGAUGGUUAGAAAGCUAGCAUGAUAUUUACAUGGCUUUUCCAUUUUUUAUUUCUUUGCUAUGCUAGAUCAUUGCUCACAUUGGUACCCUACCAGAGGCAUUCAAUAGAUGUUUUUGCAUCAUGUUUACUACUUGCAUCAUGUUCCAGUAUCUUUAAGCACUUCAGAAAAUGACUCGUGAUCAAAACCUCAUCCCCUUUUAUUAGUAUUGUCUUUCCUAUGGACGAAAUAUGAUAUUUGAUCACUUAACUGAAAAUGCAGAGUCUUGAAGCUUUGCCAAUCCAUGUCCUUUGUAGCUUGAGGGAUCCACAUCUCCAUCCAUCUACUUGCCUAAGUUGAACCUUUCCUGAAAUGUACUUGAGGAAAAAAAUAGUCCAACAAUAUGUAUGUUGACAUGAAUUACCAAAACCACCAAGGGAGCAAAUGUGCUUUCAAUCUCCCCCUUUUUGGUAAUUGAUGAAACCAUACAUCAAAUCUUCAAAUAGGAGUAUAUCAUAGAAUUACAUUAAAUCUUUAAGACACAUGUAACAUACAUAAGCCCCCCCAACAAGUGUGUAGUCUUUUUAAAGAUGAUUGCUUUUGGAAUGCAAAUGCACACUAGGGUAGGAAACUCAAUAUGUCACAUGCAUCUUGUCCAUAUACAUCAGAGUGAAGGAUGUGAACGAAAGUGUUCAUGUGUACAUGACGACUUCUUGCAAACAAGUAUGUGCAAUAAGUAAGAUACCAUCAUGCACAAGAGUGUGAUGCAUACAUUUACCUUUAGGUGCUUGAGCAUUGUACCCGAAGAAACAAAAUUGAGAAAAUACCAAGACUGGGAUGACAUGUAUGGGAAGUAGUAUCACAAGGUGAGUACUUAUUCAAGAGCUGACAUGUCCCCAAGAAAACAAUAAAUAUUUGCAAUAAAAUUCCAAGGAUUAUUCUCCCCUAAAAUUAUAACUUCUCCCCCCUGAAUCUGUGAGAUUGUAGAUACGGGGAGUAGGUAGGGUGAGACAAAAUCAAAUCAGAGAAUUUAUAGAAUGAUCAAGCAGAUAAAAUAUAUAUUAGUUGUAUGUUUCUCCCCACUUGGAAACAUAUAGGUCUCUCUACUCUUAUAAUUGUGCAUUCGCUUCAUAAAGAGACACUUUGCUGUAUACCUUAUACCUCUCUCUAAGUGAGGUUUUAGAUAAGCUUUGAUGCGAUAUCUCUCUCCUCCUUUGACAUCAAUUUUCAAGAAGGGUUUAGCUCAUGGUGAUGAAUCAAUUGGUAGGGUCCUUGAGGAGCACAUCUAGCUGAGAUAAUACUGAUUUUUGGUAUCUCCGAGUAGGAUCAAUCAGUGAGUCCAAGGUAACUUGGAGCCAGGGGUUGAUCACAUCGGUGGGUGCGAGCCAGUUCACCACAAUAAGACCUAUGAACUUGUUAAGCAAUCUAACUUGCAAACUCGGUGGCUCCGAUGAAUUUCGGAUAGGAGGGACCGACUUCACCACAGAAAGAAUGAUUUGUCAAUCUCAGCUCACUUUGCAAUAAGGUCUUACAAGGAUUUGCAGUGAAUUUAGAUAAGAUUUGCGAGGAAUUAAUAUAAGAAAGUAAAUAGCCAAAUGAAGUAAAAGUAAACACAAGAUGCAGUGACCCAACCCAAAUGGAUCGGUGCGUCUGUGCUUUUCUUUGCUAUCCCUGGAUUAGUUUGCUAGCACACACAGUACAUCGAUGAAAUACCCUAACAUCACAUGUUAAAAAGAUAAUGUAGAUUCAGAGUAUACCUCAAAUAACACAGCGGAAAAACAAUCAUAAGGGCGUGGACUUCCACCAAUGCCAACGAGAAGUUGAGUGUAGACCGCAACCCUACCAUGUAACUCUUACUUGUCGAAAUAAAAUCCCGCAACAUAAGAUAUUGCAGCCAUAUAGGUCAAUAUACUGAAUGUAUUGGCAAGUCACUCAUAAAAUGUCGGGGAUAAUUCUAUCUCUAUAUGCAAUUUGGUUGUUGGAGGCUCUGAGUUUAAGCUUUUGCAUAAAUACUAGUUUUUCCCUAACUCAAGAUAAAUCAUAAUAAGUAAAGUUGAUGUCACUAAUGAGAUGGUUCCACCAAGCAAUUCUCAUAUCCAAAAGUUGUAGGGUAACGUAGCAUAAAACAAAAAAAUUCCGACCUACACACCAGCCGAGGACCACUAUGGAGACUGCAUACAAGGCUUGAUCUAUAACCUCCCAACUAACAUAGCGCAGCGGGAAGUAGAGUCAAUGACGAUCGACGGUGCAGAUCCCCGCAGCUCGGAUUUAUAACCUCCCAACCGCGAGGAUGUAUACCCUCAUCUGCCCCUUGGACAACCCUCCGGGAGGUGGUCGGACAGUCCCCCGGACGGUGUCGCGGACAGCCCUUCGGGAGGACCUUCGAAACUUGGAUGGUCACUCAGAUAGCCCUUCAGAAGGACCUUUGAAACUCGGACGGUCACACGGACAGCCCUUCGGGAGGCACUCUCGAACUAAGACCAAAACUACGAUAUCUCUAUAGAGUUGCACACAUACGGUGUCAUCUAUCCAGCAGGGCUUCGUCGUCCAGAACUAGUUCCCACCAGAACCCAGACAACCUUUCGUCUCUACGAAACUAUUUUGCGGGGAGGGAGAGAGAAGACAGAUCAUUGCAAUGGAACUUGUAUGUGAGAAAGAGUGAGUGUGGAGAGUGCCUCUCCACCUCUAUUUAUAGGAAAACCCAAGGGGUAGGAGGCACAUGAAAAACCCAAAAUGUCCAUACUUUAUGUCACACAUAAAGGGCAUAAAGGGAUGACAAGUGGAGCCCCAUGGAAGAGCUGCACCCUCCAACGUCCCACCUUCAUGGGACCCCCAAAGGGGGUUCCUUGAUCCCCAAGUCCUUCUAGAAGCCUUUUGGGAAAAGCCCCAAAAGGUGGCUUUCCAUAAAUAUCCCAAAAGGCACUUUCACUAUUCACGACGACAUUUUUCAGCGUCCGUUCAAACUAAAAAUAUUUAUGUGGGCUUAGAACAUUUCUAGUACCCACUAAAAUAAUUUUCAACGCGUUCCGAAACAAUUCCGGAUUAAUGAUUUUCAUCUGCGAAAAGCAUAUGAAGUGGUUCCGGCAGCUCCGGAGCAUUUCCAGCUUUUAUCCCGGAAAAUUCGAGAAAGUUUGCAGAAUGACUCUGGCACCCUCCUAGAAUUAUCAAGCAUGUGCCGAAACCAAUUUGACUUAAUAGUAUAUCCCGAAAAAACUUUUUGGUUUCACCGAAACUCAUCCGAUGACCUCUCUCUGCGAAACUUCUCCGGUGUCCGAAACUUUUUUGGUGAUUUUCUCUCAGACUCCCUGUCUAGUAUUCAGCAGAUAGAUGACCCUUAAACAUGUGACCCUAUAGGUUCGGUGAAGUAUAGACAUGACCCGGAACCCCUUCCGAUCAAUGAUCAACAUCGGAGCCAUGGACACCCAUAUUGACCCCUAUACCCACACAAAAAAUAUUUGAGUGAACCUCCAGUUGCAGUGAGCUAUUCCUAUUUCUUCGUGAUAUGUCACAAACACCCGAGGUGAGAUUUAUUGCAUCCCCGUGGACAAACAAUUUGUACACCAUGCAAGUUACCUCAUUACCGGUUUUGUUCUCUUUUCUCGUUUCUGUGUUCCGGCAUCCCUAUGAUCAAAUCACACUGUGUCUGGACAGAUGAUGAUGGAUACCGUAACAGUGAGAGGGCCCGAGAAUAUCUCUCCACCAUUGAAGGAGCAAAUCCCAAUAUUGAGCUAUCUUGUUACUUGCCAUACUUUUCCGUGAACCCGUAAGCCGCCGUAAUAGCCACCUAGUUACGGAUGACGUUUAACAAACCCCAUAGUUCACAAAGCAAGCACGAAGGAACUCGAUACUCUCAUGGUCUAAGGUAUUGUGCAAACAUUAACUAUCUCUAUGAUAUUAACCAUAAACUUGUGACGAAAAGAAUCUCAUAGCAUACCAUCAACUUGGGUCGAUUCAACACAUGUGUUCUACCAACAUUGUGCCCUCAAAAAUUGCCAGCAUAGACAUAUGCCCAUGAUCAGGAAAAUGGGAUCAUCAUGCAAUACAUGAGCCAGUCUUAGAGGCAAUUCUAGGAAUACAUUUUACUGUUUAGUAUACCACACGUGCACAUGAGUUUCCCUCCGAGCCUCGUGGAUAUUGCAGACUCGAGAAUCAUUGCGGUUAUAACAUGGAACAAACAUAAUUAUGAACUUGGAGAUAAAUAAUAUCAUUUAUUAUUGCCUCUAGGGCAUAUCUCCUACAGACUCCCACUUGCACUAGAGUCAAUAAUCUAGUUAACGCUAAUGCACUUUACACCUAUGGCAUACAGGUGUAAAAAAUGCUUCGCAUGUGGUAUAGCCUGAUGUCCAUCGGAUCUGACAACUUCUGCUCCGUGUGUAUCUCUGCAUAUCCUCGCGUUUUCACGCUUUCACAAAAUUCAUAUUUUGUGUGGACUUGGCUUUGUAUAUAUGUGAAUCAUUGGUCGAAACCUGAUUCCUUAGACUGAGUUAUGGAGCAACUAUCUGCAAUAGUAUCCCAUUGACCAAAGCCUUCUUGGAACCAUACUAAGUUAAUGAAUGAACUAUACGAUUCAUCAUCUUUGUCUUUGUCGCUUCUAAAGCAGCAACAUACUUAACCUCUAUUAUAGAAUUCGCCACAGUAACUUGUUUGGAACAAUUUCCAACUAACUGCCCACCAUAUUGUGUGUUACACAAAACCCUCAAUUUAAAUUGAAAAUCGCAUGGAGAAAUGAUGAAGAUUUUAUCGAUGUAACCUUUUACAACGAACUCUUCAUGAUGUCCACUUGCAAGAAAACAUGUCAUCAGUGCUACUUUAGUACUCAAUGAUCCCUUUUCACUGUUGUCCCAUGAUCAGUACUUUUGAUCACUUUGGUAUCUAUACUCGCAACAGCUUGGGAGUAUUGGACAUAUCUGGUUGUUUUACAUACCAUGGAAUACAUGAUUAAUCCAAACACAGGAGUGUGUGAAAUCUCCAUCAUGUAUUUUUCUCAUUAGUGUUUUGGGACACUGAUUCUUGCAAAAACUCUUUCCAUGUGACUUCAGCAAGAAUCAUUCCUUGUCGUUCUUAGUGCUAAACAAUUUUAGCAUCUUGUCAAUAUGUAUUUUUGCUCAGCCCUAUUAGGUAAAUCUAUCUCCAUAGAUCAUUAUUCCUAAUAUCAAGGCUAUUUAGCCCAAGCACUUCAUCGAAACUAUUUUCAAAUGAAGUCCUAAUUCGUGUCAAGAAAUUUAUUUCCAAUUAACAAUGUGUCAAGCACACAAGGUUUUCAGAAAUAUUACUAUGCUCCCACUUAAUUUCUUGAAACCACAAGCAUCUUCAUUACCCAUUGAUGAAGUCAAACCCCUUUGACCAUUCCAUCAAAAACGAAGAUUCCAAUUCCAUUUUGCUCUCUUUUAUCCAUUGCUGGAACUCUGAAGCUAGCAUACUUACUAGCAUCCUCUGGACCAACAAAAUACUUUGGAUUGUAUCACAUACAAGUCCUAGGUUGUAUUUCCAUUUCAUGGAAAUUCUUUUGUCAUCCAUGUCUCAUAUCUCAUGUUUGAAAUAUGUAUUAAUUGCUAGUUUAACCUGAACUGAAUUUAAGCAUUGCUAUGGUGAGAUAAUCUCAUUAUAGUCAACUCCUUGAACUUUUUCUUGCAACAAGUCGAGCUUAAUGGAUAAAACAUUUUUAUCCGUAUUAGUUUAUAGUCCCAUUACAAUCUGUUAGACUCUAGGUCUUUCGGAGGGUUUAUCAAGAUUUUAAUCUUGAAUCAUUUAUGGAAACUAUCUCGGAUUACAUUGGCAUUUAGCCAAUUCCGUAGUCAGGGCCCAUCAAUGCUUCCUUGUGUAUCGUAGGUAUACUGUUGUCUAACAACAAUAUCUCGUUUGCGCACUUGAGAGGUUUGCACGAGCUUUGCCUACGCUGUUCAGCUACAAGGUCGAACGAAGUCCAUACAUCUCAUGUAGAGGCUUCCACAUCAGUCGCAGUAGGAAACUCUGGAAUUACUUCCAAGGUUCCAUUCCUUUAACCUGAUGACGAAGAUACUUGUUAUCUCGUCGAGUUGCACUAUCCUCCCACUCACCUUUUGCAAGAACUAUUCUCUAUAAAAUCAUACCAUUUUGUGGCAAAAUCCUUGGCCUCGGUAUAGUAGUGGUGGAAUACCCAAAGUAGAACUUGUAUGAAAUAGGCAUGUAACCUUUUACACAAGCCCCAUAUUCCAAAUGUUAAGAAAAGAUAUAUCAUGGUUGGUCGUACCAUACCAUGUCGUCAUUUCAACAAACCUAAUGGAGCUCUUUUCAGUGUAAAAACCUCAGUCUCUAAAGCAUUACUCUUUAAAAGUGAUAAUGGCAAAUUUAUUUAUGUAUCUUUGAUCUUACCAUGUCAUAAAUGGUUUUAUUACAUCUUCACAGACAUUUCACUCAUAGUGGUGUUCCAGGAGUUGUAAGUUAUGAAACUCUUUUCACAACUCAUCAGACAUUCGCUAAACUUGUAACUCAGAUAUUCCUUUCUGCAAUCAAAUUGUAGAAACAUAAUUUCCGUGUUACAAUAACUUCUACUUCAUUUUUGAAAACCUUUCGAAGGAUUUCAAAAGAUUCAGACUUACGUCUCAUCAAGCAAAUAUCCAUAUAUCUACUUGAGUCAUUUCUGAAGAUAUAUAAAUCCACUACUUGCAACAACAUUUAUUGAA
This 38483-nucleotide long non-coding RNA is filed under the name Triticum aestivum (bread wheat). RNAcentral's name for it is "long non-coding RNA (TAES_LNC020882)". The record is from RNAcentral. Lineage: Eukaryota; Viridiplantae; Streptophyta; Magnoliopsida; Poales; Poaceae.